RNAcentral lists this microRNA precursor (78 nucleotides) under Mesocricetus auratus (golden hamster). RNAcentral describes it as "miRNA (ENSMAUG00000003035.1)". The record is from RNAcentral. Lineage: Eukaryota; Metazoa; Chordata; Mammalia; Rodentia; Cricetidae.
CCUGGAACUCACUUUGUAGACCAGGCUGGCCUCAAACUCACAGAGAUCUACUUGCUUCUGCCUCCUGAGUGCUGGGAU